Molecule: long non-coding RNA, 492 nt
Filed under: Homo sapiens (human)
Lineage: Eukaryota; Metazoa; Chordata; Mammalia; Primates; Hominidae
Description: non-protein coding lnc-HSFY1-6:1
Source: RNAcentral
AUUUUCAUAUUUACCGUUAAUAGCAUCGCUGAUUAUAUGUUCCCUCUUAUCAGUUGUGUAUGGGGCCAUUCACCGCAACAUACUAGCAAUCCACACCUGCAACAACUUUGCUGCCAUUAAGCUAUGGGUAAUAAAAUUCAUCUUUGUCAUGAUAUGGCAUUCCUUGGUGACUAUCUCACGUGUAGUGACUCUGGCAUUUUUCCCUGCAUCUCUGAAACUGAGGACCCUACACUUUCUAUUAAUCAUAUAUUUUGUAUUAUUUUUGGCAUCAUGGCCGGAGAUUUGGAAAACUGGAGUUCAUUUUCAUAGCAACACAGAAAAUAAUUCCAGCAUGGCGGGUACAGUAUGGAUGCUUAUCUUAACCAUGCUAGUAUAAGCUGCCAUCAACUUCUCUGCUGGUCAUCAGUUAAGCUGCAGCUGUCAAAUAAGAAAAUAAUUGACAAGAGACAGAGGUGGACCACACAAUCCAACACUGCAGCUUUCCGGUUUUAG